This 1507-nucleotide ribosomal RNA is filed under the name Helicobacter pylori FD535. Its description in RNAcentral is "bacterial SSU rRNA". It matches the Rfam family "Bacterial small subunit ribosomal RNA". The record is from RNAcentral. Lineage: Bacteria; Pseudomonadati; Campylobacterota; Epsilonproteobacteria; Campylobacterales; Helicobacteraceae.
UUUAUGGAGAGUUUGAUCCUGGCUCAGAGUGAACGCUGGCGGCGUGCCUAAUACAUGCAAGUCGAACGAUGAAGCUUCUAGCUUGCUAGAAUGCUGAUUAGUGGCGCACGGGUGAGUAACGCAUAGGUCAUGUGCCUCUUAGUUUGGGAUAGCCAUUGGAAACGAUGAUUAAUACCAGAUACUCCCUACGGGGGAAAGAUUUAUCGCUAAGAGAUCAGCCUAUGUCCUAUCAGCUUGUUGGUAAGGUAAUGGCUUACCAAGGCUAUGACGGGUAUCCGGCCUGAGAGGGUGAACGGACACACUGGAACUGAGACACGGUCCAGACUCCUACGGGAGGCAGCAGUAGGGAAUAUUGCUCAAUGGGGGAAACCCUGAAGCAGCAACGCUGCGUGGAGGAUGAAGGUUUUAGGAUUGUAAACUCCUUUUGUUAGAGAAGAUAAUGACGGUAUCUAACGAAUAAGCACCGGCUAACUCCGUGCCAGCAGCCGCGGUAAUACGGAGGGUGCAAGCGUUACUCGGAAUCACUGGGCGUAAAGAGCGCGUAGGCGGGAUAGUCAGUCAGGUGUGAAAUCCUAUGGCUUAACCAUAGAACUGCAUUUGAAACUACUAUUCUAGAGUGUGGGAGAGGUAGGUGGAAUUCUUGGUGUAGGGGUAAAAUCCGUAGAGAUCAAGAGGAAUACUCAUUGCGAAGGCGACCUGCUGGAACAUUACUGACGCUGAUUGCGCGAAAGCGUGGGGAGCAAACAGGAUUAGAUACCCUGGUAGUCCACGCCCUAAACGAUGGAUGCUAGUUGUUGGAGGGCUUAGUCUCUCCAGUAAUGCAGCUAACGCAUUAAGCAUCCCGCCUGGGGAGUACGGUCGCAAGAUUAAAACUCAAAGGAAUAGACGGGGACCCGCACAAGCGGUGGAGCAUGUGGUUUAAUUCGAAGAUACACGAAGAACCUUACCUAGGCUUGACAUUGAGAGAAUCCGCUAGAAAUAGUGGAGUGUCUGGCUUGCCAGACCUUGAAAACAGGUGCUGCACGGCUGUCGUCAGCUCGUGUCGUGAGAUGUUGGGUUAAGUCCCGCAACGAGCGCAACCCCCUUUCUUAGUUGCUAACAGGUCAUGCUGAGAACUCUAAGGAUACUGCCUCCGUAAGGAGGAGGAAGGUGGGGACGACGUCAAGUCAUCAUGGCCCUUACGCCUAGGGCUACACACGUGCUACAAUGGGGUGCACAAAGAGAAGCAAUACUGCGAAGUGGAGCCAAUCUUCAAAACACCUCUCAGUUCGGAUUGUAGGCUGCAACUCGCCUGCAUGAAGCUGGAAUCGCUAGUAAUCGCAAAUCAGCCAUGUUGCGGUGAAUACGUUCCCGGGUCUUGUACUCACCGCCCGUCACACCAUGGGAGUUGUGUUUGCCUUAAGUCAGGAUGCUAAAUUGGCUACUGCCCACGGCACACACAGCGACUGGGGUGAAGUCGUAACAAGGUAACCGUAGGUGAACCUGCGGUUGGAUCACCUCCUUUCUA